This is a long non-coding RNA of Telopea speciosissima, 292 nucleotides long. RefSeq lists it as uncharacterized. The transcript is spliced from 2 exons. The record is from RefSeq and is a predicted model, not a curated record. Lineage: Eukaryota; Viridiplantae; Streptophyta; Magnoliopsida; Proteales; Proteaceae.
AAAGAACAUAUUCCCAGAUCGAGGAUGUCAUUAAGGCUAUUGCAAAAUUCUUUAUCUUAAUCCGAAACAAAACAAGGAGAAUUACAAAUUAAUAAACCAUUAGAAAAGUUCACAGCUUCCAAUUAUCCUCUCAAUUGACGUAAUUUUGCGAUCUAUCACACCCGUUUCAAAGGUCAGAAAAACAAAUCCUGGACAUUGAACUCGAAAGAAGGCCAUGAUCAUCAACCCAUUUACUAUGUAAUCGCAGCAAAGAUAUAAAAAUGAUCAUCAAAUGAAAUAGAUCAAAAUCCAC